AGGGUUUGAUCUUGGCUCAGAACGAACGCUGGCGGCGUGGAUUAGGCAUGCAAGUCGAACGAGGAUAUAUCCUUCGGGAUAUAAGCCGAGUGGCACAAGGGUGAGCAAUGCAUAGAUUACCUACCUUUAGGAUAAGGGCAACUUUGUGAAAACGGAGCUAAUACUUAAUAAUACAAAAGAAAAUAAUUUUCUUUUGUCAAAGGGAGGGUAGCAAUACCUUUCGCCUAGAGAGGGGUUUAUGUCCUAUCAGCUUGUUGGUGGGGUAAUAGCCUACCAAGGCGAAGACGGGUAGCCGGUUUAAGAGGAUGGUCGGCCACACUGGGACUGAGACACUGCCCAGACUUCUACGGAAGGCUGCAGUCGAGAAUCUUUCGCAAUGCCCGAAAGGGUGACGAAGCGACGCCGCGUGGGUGAAGAAGGCCUUCGGGUUGUAAAGCCCUGUCAGGAGUUAUGAAAUGUAAGUGCGCUAAUAUCGUGCUUAUUUGACAAAGGCUCCAAAGGAAGCCACGGCUAACUCUGUGCCAGCAGCCGCGGUAAUACAGAGGUGGCGAGCGUUGUUCGGAAUUAUUGGGCGUAAAGAGCACGUAGGUGGGUUUGCAAGUCAGAUGUGAAAGCCUUCUGUUCAACGGAAGAAUUGCAUCUGAAACUGCUAAUCUUGAGUAUAGGAGGGGAGAAUGGAACUUCUGGUGGAGCGGUGAAAUGCGUAGAUAUCAGAAGGAACGCCGGCGGCGAAAGCGAUUCUCUGGCCUAUUACUGACACUCAGUGUGCGAAAGCUAGGGGAGCAAACGGGAUUAGAUACCCCGGUAGUCCUAGCCGUAAACGAUGGGCACUAAGUAGAGGGAAUUACCUAUAUUCUCUCUGCCGUAGCUAACGCAUUAAGUGCCCCGCCUGGGGAGUACGGCCGCAAGGCUAAAACUCAAAGGAAUUGACGGGGGCCCGCACAAGCGGCGGAGCAUGUUGCUUAAUUCGAGGCAACGCGAAGAACCUUACCUGGGUUUGACAUGUAGGGAAAAGCCAUAGAGAUAUGGUGUCCUUAGGGGCCUUACACAGGUGGUGCAUGGCUGUCGUCAGCUCGUGUCGUGAGAUGUUGGGUUAAGUCCCGCAACGAGCGCAACCCUUGUCCUAUGUUGCCAGCGGGUAAUGCCGGGGACUCGUAGGAGACUGCCGGGGUCAACUCGGAGGAAGGUGGGGACGACGUCAAGUCAUCAUGCCCCUUAUAUCCAGGGCUGCAAACAUGCUACAAUGGCCGGUACAGAGGGCUGCGAGACCGCGAGGUUGAGCGAAUCCCACAAAGCCGGUCUCAGUUCGGAUUGGAGUCUGCAACUCGACUCCAUGAAGGCGGAGUCGCUAGUAAUCCCGGAUCAGCAACGCCGGGGUGAAUACGUUCCCGGGCCUUGUACACACCGCCCGUCACACCACGAAAGUCGGCAACACCCGAAGUCAGUGGCCUAACUCUUUUAGAGAAGGAGCUGCCGAAGGUGGGGUUGGUGAUUGGGGUGAAGUCGUAACAAGGUAGCCGUACCGGAAGGUGCGGCUG
This 1538-nucleotide ribosomal RNA is filed under the name marine metagenome. RNAcentral describes it as "bacterial SSU rRNA". It matches the Rfam family "Bacterial small subunit ribosomal RNA". The record is from RNAcentral.